RNAcentral lists this transfer RNA (75 nucleotides) under Bacteroidales bacterium. RNAcentral describes it as "tRNA-Glu". It matches the Rfam family "tRNA". Rfam says of the family: Transfer RNA (tRNA) molecules are approximately 80 nucleotides in length. Their secondary structure includes four short double-helical elements and three loops (D, anti-codon, and T loops). Lineage: Bacteria; Pseudomonadati; Bacteroidota; Bacteroidia; Bacteroidales. The record is from RNAcentral.
GCUGGAUUCGUCUAGUUGGCCUAGGACGUAAGGUUUUCAUCCUUAAAAUCAGGGGUUCGAAUCCCCUAUCCAGUA